This 425-nucleotide ribosomal RNA is filed under the name uncultured bacterium. Its description in RNAcentral is "partial 16S ribosomal RNA". It matches the Rfam family "Bacterial small subunit ribosomal RNA", at positions 354 to 796 of the family's 1533-position model. The record is from RNAcentral.
GUGGGGAAUCUUGCGCAAUGGGCGAAAGCCUGACGCAGCCAUGCCGCGUGAAUGAUGAAGGUCUUAGGAUUGUAAAAUUCUUUCACCGGGGACGAUAAUGACGGUACCCGGAGAAGAAGCUCCGGCUAACUUCGUGCCAGCAGCCGCGGUAAUACGAAGGGGGCUAGCGUUGCUCGGAAUUACUGGGCGUAAAGGGCGCGUAGGCGGACAGCUUAGUCAGAGGUGAAAGCCCAGGGCUCAACCUUGGAAUUGCCUUUGAUACUGGCUGUCUUGAGUUUGGGAGAAGUGAGUGGAACUCCGAGUGUAGAGGUGAAAUUCGUAGAUAUUCGGAAGAGCACCAGUGGCGAAGGCGACUCACUGGCCCAAUACUGACGCUGAGGCGCGAAAGCGUGGGGAGCAAACAGGAUUAGAAACCCGAGUAGUCC